RNAcentral lists this ribosomal RNA (468 nucleotides) under uncultured bacterium. RNAcentral describes it as "partial 16S ribosomal RNA". It matches the Rfam family "Bacterial small subunit ribosomal RNA", at positions 28 to 507 of the family's 1533-position model. The record is from RNAcentral.
GACGAACGCUGGCUGCGUGCGUAACACAUGCCAGUCGCACGUAAAUGCCCUUCUUAUUUGUGUUGCUCGAGUGGCGAAUCGGUGUGUUACCCGUGAUUAUCUUGCCCUUCUCUUUGCGAUUACUUCGCGAACCUCGGGCUCCUACGGGAUUGGGACUCCUGCUGCAUUGUGGGUGUUUCAAUGUUUCGUAGGUUGGGGAUUGGCUUGCGGUGUAUCAGUCUGUUGUUGGGGCAGUGGCUUACCACGGCUGUGACGGGUAGCCGGCCUGAGAGGGUGACCGGCCACAUGGGGAAUGAGAUACGGCCCAGACGCCUACGGGAGGCAGCAGUGGGGAAGAGUGCACAAUGGGCGGAAGCCUGAUGCAGCAACGCCGCGUGCGGGAUGACGGCCUUCGGGUUGUAAACCGCUUUCGCCGGGGACGAAGCGUGAGUGACGGUAAUGGGUAAAGAAGCACAGGAUAACUACGGG